GAUGAACGCUGGCGGCGUGCCUAAUACAUGCAAGUCGAGCGAACAGACGAGGAGCUUGCUCCUCUGACGUUAGCGGCGGACGGGUGAGUAACACGUGGAUAACCUACCUAUAAGACUGGGAUAACUUCGGGAAACCGGAGCUAAUACCGGAUAAUAUAUUGAACCGCAUGGUUCAAUAGUGAAAGACGGUUUUGCUGUCACUUAUAGAUGGAUCCGCGCCGCAUUAGCUAGUUGGUAAGGUAACGGCUUACCAAGGCAACGAUGCGUAGCCGACCUGAGAGGGUGAUCGGCCAAACUGGACCUGAGACACGGUCCAGACUCCUACGGGAGGCAGCAGUAGGGCAUCUUCCGACAUGGGCGAAAGCCUGACGGAGCAACGCCGCGUGAGUGAUGAAGGUCUUCGGAUCGUAAAACUCUGUUAUUAGGGAAGAACAAAUGUGUAAGUAACUAUGCACGUCUUGACGGUACCUAAUCAGAACGCCACGGCUAACUACGUG
This 497-nucleotide ribosomal RNA is filed under the name uncultured bacterium. Its description in RNAcentral is "partial 16S ribosomal RNA". It matches the Rfam family "Bacterial small subunit ribosomal RNA", at positions 28 to 507 of the family's 1533-position model. The record is from RNAcentral.